Molecule: ribosomal RNA, 402 nt
Filed under: uncultured bacterium
Lineage: Bacteria
Description: bacterial SSU rRNA
Rfam family: Bacterial small subunit ribosomal RNA
Source: RNAcentral
UGGGGAAUAUUGCACAAUGGGCGAAAGCCUGAUGCAGCAACGCCGCGUGAGUAAUGAAGGCCUUCGGGUUGUAAAGCUCUGUCUUUUGGGACGAUAAUGACGGUACCAAAGGAGGAAGCCCCGGCCAACUACGUGCCAGCAGCCGCGGUAACACGUAGGGGGCGAGCGUUGUUCGGAAUUACUGGGCGUAAAGGGCAUGUAGGCGGCUUGGAAAGCCUGGCGUGAAAGUCUGCAGCUUAACUGCAGGGGUGCGCUGGGAACUGCUGAGCUUGAGUGACGGAGAGGGAGCUGGAAUUCCUGGUGUAGGGGUGAAAUCUGUAGAUAUCAGGAAGAACACCGAUGGCGAAGGCAAGCUCCUGGCCGAUAACUGACGCUGAGGUGCGAAAGUGUGGGGAUCAAACA